RNAcentral lists this ribosomal RNA (163 nucleotides) under Aster oharai. Its description in RNAcentral is "5.8S ribosomal RNA". It matches the Rfam family "5.8S ribosomal RNA". From Rfam's summary of the family: 5.8S ribosomal RNA (5.8S rRNA) is a component of the large subunit of the eukaryotic ribosome. It is transcribed by RNA polymerase I as part of the 45S precursor that also contains 18S and 28S rRNA. The record is from RNAcentral. Lineage: Eukaryota; Viridiplantae; Streptophyta; Magnoliopsida; Asterales; Asteraceae.
CAAAUGACUCUCGGCAACGGAUAUCUCGGCUCACGCAUCGAUGAAGAACGUAGCAAAAUGCGAUACUUGGUGUGAAUUGCAGAAUCCCGUGAACCAUCGAGUUUUUGAACGCAAGUUGCGCCCGAAGCCAUUCGGCUGAGGGCACGUCUGCCUGGGCGUCACG